RNAcentral lists this ribosomal RNA (336 nucleotides) under Triticum aestivum (bread wheat). RNAcentral describes it as "partial small subunit ribosomal RNA". The record is from RNAcentral. Lineage: Eukaryota; Viridiplantae; Streptophyta; Magnoliopsida; Poales; Poaceae.
AUGGAAGACUACUUCUCCGAGGUACCUACAUACCCUCCUCGUCUCUUUCGCAGAAUGUACCGAAUGCGACGUAGUUUGUUUGUGAAGAUUGUCACCGAUUGUGAGGCCGCCUCAUAUUACUUUAAACGUCGUAGAUCCGCCGCCGGUAUCAUGGGGUUUAGUGCAUAUCAAAAGAUAUCGGCGGCAGUGCGGGUACUCGCUUAUGGCAUACCCGCGGAUUAUACCGACGAGUAUCUUCGCAUUGGGCAAGAUACAACCACGGAGUCAGUCCGUAGGUUUCCAGUAUCUUCAGGCACCAAACGAGGAAGAUACAAAAAGAUUAAUGGAAAUGAAUGA